Molecule: ribosomal RNA, 253 nt
Filed under: uncultured bacterium
Lineage: Bacteria
Description: partial 16S ribosomal RNA
Rfam family: Bacterial small subunit ribosomal RNA
Source: RNAcentral
CACGUAGGGUGCGAGCGUUGUCCGGAAUUAUUGGGCGUAAAGAGCUCGUAGGCGGUUUGUCGCGUCUGCUGUGAAAACUCGGGGCUUAACCCCGGGCCUGCAGUGGGUACGGGCAGACUAGAGUGCGGUAGGGGAGACUGGAAUUCCUGGUGUAGCGGUGAAAUGCGCAGAUAUCAGGAGGAACACCGGUGGCGAAGGCGGGUCUCUGGGCCGUAACUGACGCUGAGGAGCGAAAGCAUGGGGAGCGAACAGG